Molecule: long non-coding RNA, 3281 nt
Organism: Ficedula albicollis (Collared flycatcher)
Lineage: Eukaryota; Metazoa; Chordata; Aves; Passeriformes; Muscicapidae
Source: Ensembl
CACUUUCCACUACCAGAGCCCAAAUUUGCUGGGAUAUUUUACAAAUAUUUAUUUUUUUUCCAUGCUUUAUAUGCUCUUUUUGGUGUCAGAAGUACCUGGGCCAAGCAGAGAAUUUCUUGACAAAAGAGUUUUGUUGUUUUUUUUUUUUUUUUUUUUUUCUUUUUCUUUCCUUUCCUUUUCUCUCUUUCCCUCCCUUUCCUUCCUCGCAGCCGGGACUGGAGUCUCCUCAGCGAAACUCCUGUGCUUUCGCGGCCGCAGCAGCACGUCUUACUGGCUAAUGAAAGCCAAAACCUGACUGUACUGCAGGAAGAUUCAUACACACUGCAGCCAUGUAAGUGUGCUGUUUGACUUCAGUGACACACAAAAAUACAAAUAUAUUUGAUUAAAGUUAUUAUUGUCUAUUUAGUAAGUAGACUUAUGAACUACAAUUAAAAAGAAGUUCACAUCCUAGUGUGUUCCAAGAAAGGAUCUUAUCUGAUCUUUGUUUUUACAGCUCUCAUCCCAGCAAUCAACUGUGAAAACUUACAUAAGUACUCCCAGUAUGAUUGAAGCCACUCAUUUGUUAAACAGAGGAUUAAAGGUUAAAACUAGGGACAGAGACGCCUAUUCAGGAAAAUAGUAAAGAUCUUAAUUAAAACUAAACAUAUCUUAGCAUUACUUUGCAAACCAAUUUUACUUAAGCAUGUGACACUUCCAAAAAAAGACUGUAACAAGGCUACCCCAAUGCAAAGGCAUAUUAAUAUUAGCCCUCAGCGGAAUUAUAAUUUAAAAAUUUUGUAAGUAUGACAUCUGGAAGAAUUAGACUUCUUUUCUGUUAGACUGUCUGCACAAAAAUUUCAGACCAGUAGCAUUUAAAAUUUAUAAAGGAAAACGUAUUCUUAAUGUUAAAUAAUAUAGACAGAAAACAGCAAAAACAUUUUCAUGAAACUGUAAAACAAAUCAUUAGGCUUUGGGUUACUUUAUGUAUGUGCUUGUCACUUAUUAGAUGUUUUUUAUUAGAUCUGCUUUAUUAUUAGAUCUGUUAGUAGGUCAGUCCUUUAUUAUAUGUUGCAGUGUCUGUUUACAGCCUCACCCAUAACUAUCAUUUUAACAAAUCAAUGUAUACAGUAUAGCAUCUGUAUAGCAUUGUAUUAUUGAUCUGCAACACUAUUACAAAUGUGAAUAUAGAUUUAGCUAUGGUCCAGGGAUUAAUUUGUUUCACAGUUCUACUGCUACUUUUCUCAUCUAUUAAGGCAGGCAAGAAUGUUUCAUAAUAUUAAAAAAAAAAACAUUUAGCUGGAAGGCCUUUCCAGAAAACAAAAUCUCUGUCUUGUUUUCUCAUCCCUAGUAAUUUUCUAUUAUUGGAGGAACAAGAGGGAAACUUAACACCAAUUUUAAUCUAUUUUCCCUGGGAAAAUGAAGCAAGAAAUAGGCACAGCAUACACAAUAUGUUACCUGUGUUCUGUCUGUUUGUGCUUUCUAUGGAGAAUAGGUUGGCACACAAAAUUUGAAAUGGCUACUGCAUCCCUCUUCUGAAGAGAUCCAUAUCCCCCUCCAGGAGGGAACUUGGGUGAGCCCUGGCUUGAUCAGUAAUUUCCCUGGGUGCACAGAAAGGUUUGAAGCCUAUACUGUUAAACAGGAAUGGGGAGAGAGGCUGUAGAGGGGCCUUGACACACGCUGCCUGCAGCUGCAGAGCUGAGGGUCAACCCACAUCCCACUUCCUGGGAGCAGCAGCAGGAACAGAUCCCUCCUUCCACAUCAAGGUUGGAGGCAAUGUGUUCCUGAACAAGGCUGGUUUGGGGAUGUAGGAUGUUCCUGAAUCCUAAAGUUAGACAAGUAUGCAUAGAGCAACUUCAGCUAAGUGGGUAUGUUGGUGGGCUUUCUUAGGGCAAGAUUUUACCUGGGAUUAUUUAUUUUCUUGCAGAAUACAUAAUCUGCCCUAUCAGUUAGAUGGAAUUAUUACCCACUCACAGCAACCUUCACAGCUAGAAUGGUAUUACUCAUUCUCCUUAACAGAAACCUAGCACUGUGGUUUUGGUGGCACACUGAAAACUUAUUUAGAUCUUUCUUGUGUUUCAGAUGGCAAUGCAUUGUCUCCUUCCUGAUCUUGGAUUACAGUCCAUACUGAAAAAAAAAUAAAGUGAUUAAGAGCAAAAGUUCAAGUGGGUUUAUUUGUAGAAGCUGGUUGUGGCCUUCCCACAAUGAAGCAGCUUUUACCCUAAAAGUCACGCUAAGUACUAGUUAGUAAAUUAUCAAUUUUCCCUUGCAAACGCUGUAUUAUGUACGAGAAUAAAAUAUUGCCUUUCAAACCGUAGUGGAUGUUAUCACUUCAAAUGUGCUUAUAUGCAUUUCCUGUGCUUAGAUCCAGCCCAGCAAUAACAAUACCACAAUUACCAGAAUGUAUAAUCCAUAGUGUGGCCCUGUGUAAAUCAAGCCCCCGCUGAGCAUGUCGCACACAUCCUGCAGGAUACCACUGCCAUCCUCGAUUGCUUCCGGUGAGCGCCCUGCGUCUGCAGGAGGAUUGCAGAGCCCUGCUCACCCUGACUCCUAACUCACAACUCAGAGCUACCUCCUCCCAGCAAGAUUUAGGCACACAGCUGAAGCAGGUUUUGUUCGUGAUAGCCUAAAUGGGAAACUAGAAAACCAGGCUUAAGGAAAAAACAGUUUUGAUCUUUUAAAAAUACUUAAGGACAAAAUUGUUGCAAAUACUGCAAGGGAGAGUGUUCAGCAUUUCAAUUCAAUUGUUAAAUUACUAAAAUAAUGCGUACCUGGGGUUUUCACACCGUGGAGACUUAGAUGUAUGAUCUGAUACUCUGUCAUUCAUUCCCUUCAGAACACAGCAUCAUUUUUUCUCUGUGCAAAAUAUCUGAGAAGUAAACAUUUUUGAAAGAAUUUUGCAAAGUCAAAGAACAAGCAAAAUCUGAACUAAACCAGAAAUAUAUUAUUUUAAUUGCAAGACACAUUGCAGCCAUACACUCAGAACAAUCUUACAGGAAUAUUCUGACAAUGUCAGUGUCAUGAUUCAGUUAGUUCAAGCCAACUCAACAGACUGACUCAGAAAUUAAAUCUACUUGACCUGUUCAUGACUUCAUAUUUUUAGUCAGUUCUCAGAUUAGACACUGACUUUUUCAAACAGAUGUUGAAAUGAGUACAAAGUUUUGAAAAACUGUAAACCACUUUAAACUAUAAUUUAUACAUAUGAUCCUUAAAAAAAAAAAAACCCCCCCCCCCCCCCCCCCCCCCCCCCCCCCCCCCCCCCCCCCCCCCCCCCCCCCCCCCCCCCCCCCCCCCCCCCCCCCCCC